CCAGACUCCUACGGGAGGCAGCAGUGGGGAAUAUUGCACAAUGGGGGAAACCCUGAUGCAGCGACGCCGCGUGGGUGAAGGAGUAUUUCGGUAUGUAAAGCCCUAUCAGCAGGGAAGAACAAUGACGGUACCUGACUAAGAAGCACCGGCUAAAUACGUGCCAGCAGCCGCGGUAAUACGUAUGGUGCAAGCGUUAUCCGGAUUUACUGGGUGUAAAGGGAGCGCAGGCGGCGCGUUAAGCCUGGUGUGAAAGCCCGGGGCUCAACCCCGGGACUGCAUUUGGAACUGUGUGGCUGGAGUGUCGGAGAGGCAGGCGGAAUUCCUAGUGUAGCGGUGAAAUGCGUAGAUAUUAGGAGGAACACCAGUGGCGAAGGCGGCCUGCUGGACGAUGACUGACGUUGAGGCUCGAAAGCGUGGGGAGCAAACAGGAUUAGAUACCCCCGUAU
Molecule: ribosomal RNA, 446 nt
Filed under: uncultured bacterium
Lineage: Bacteria
Description: bacterial SSU rRNA
Rfam family: Bacterial small subunit ribosomal RNA
Source: RNAcentral